Molecule: ribosomal RNA, 340 nt
Filed under: Moechotypa diphysis
Lineage: Eukaryota; Metazoa; Arthropoda; Insecta; Coleoptera; Cerambycidae
Also listed under: 7 other names
Description: SSU rRNA
Rfam family: Eukaryotic small subunit ribosomal RNA
Source: RNAcentral
UUCCAGCUCCAAUAGCGUAUAUUAAAGUUGUUGCGGUUAAAAAGCUCGUAGUCGAAUCUGUGUCCCGCGUCGCCGGUUCAUCGUCCGCGGUGUUAACUGGCGUUCCGCGGGACGUCCUGCCGGUGGGCUUAGCUCGCAAGGGCGGCCCAACUCAAUCCCGCCGCGGUGCUCUUCAUUGAGUGUCGAGGUGGGCCGGCACGUUUACUUUGAACAAAUUAGAGUGCUUAAAGCAGGCUAAAACUUCGCCUGAAUACUGUGUGCAUGGAAUAAUGGAAUAGGACCUCGGUUCUAUUUUGUUGGUUUUCGGAACCCCGAGGUAAUGAUUAAUAGGAACGGAUGG